Pyrus x bretschneideri (Chinese white pear) is the source of this 511-nucleotide long non-coding RNA. RefSeq lists it as uncharacterized. The transcript is spliced from 2 exons. The record is from RefSeq and is a predicted model, not a curated record. Lineage: Eukaryota; Viridiplantae; Streptophyta; Magnoliopsida; Rosales; Rosaceae.
UUAAAUAAAUUGUCUCAACCAAGACGCCGCCGUUUUGUUUGAUUUUAUUUUUUUGGUAAAAAUUACUGAAAAAAUGCUUCAGUUUGUGCUCUUCUUCGGACCCACAACUGCAAGUACAUCAAUUUCCCAAAAGUUCUAAAACCCUAAACCUGCCCCAUCAGACACCCACAACCCCCUGAUUCCACCAAAUCCAAUCCCUAAUUUCCCCAAAUUCCAAGAACGUUUCAGCCCCACUCCCACCCGAAUCCACGAGAAAGCAACCCGCCACCGCCGCAACUACCACCUCUCCACGCAGAUGUAGAAGGCGACGACGAGAACGUAAAACAGCUCAACCAAUGCUCUGCUUUCUACCUCUCCUUACAGAAGUUCAGGCCUUGAAAGCAUGCAAUGAGAGGAGGAAGAAAUGACAGGGGAAAGUCAGAUCAUAGCAAAAGAUGCGCUGCAAUCAAGAUUUCCCGAUUUGUAUCAAUUUUUGACCGGAUUUAUAAAUGAAAUUGUUACCAUUUCUUGA